UAUAUAUAUUUCUUUUACCUGUUUCUUACAUUCUCCUUCUCUCCUUUUCUUUAAGGAAAACAAUUAUAUGAUAAUCAUUUCCUCUUUUGUUAUUUUUAUUUAUUUUUUUUUCCUCUAAAUAUGCAUCCAAAGAUACAUGUAUUUUCUAUUAAUACUUCCUGAUAUCGCAUACCAAAAAUUUUAUCCAUUAUCAUACCUUCUUUCUUUAUGGAUCGGCAAGUGUGAAUAACUUAAAGAUUCGAAUGUAACGUUCCGGACCAGUGUUCACGCUCAGCUUUAGGUCCAAAUCUACCUUUCUUCUCGUGGUCUGGCAGGUGCAAAUAACCUAAAAUUCCUUAUAUAAAGUCCUUAUGUAACAAAAAGGAUCAGUCUUCGCAUUUAACUUUAGAUUCACGAUAAUUAUUUUCAACUUUGUCAACAAAUUUUAUUCUUUCAGUCUUUUCAGUUAAAAUUUAUUAUUUUUUUCAUUUACUCUAUUCUUCCCAUUUAUCUCGUUAUCUUGUCUUUUAAAAAAGGGUAAGAGAGAAAGAGAAAUGAUUAUCGAACUGUCUCCUAAAACUAAUAAUCACUCCUUUACUAAACAUUACGUGUGCUCCUUCAGUGGACGCGACACGAAAAACUAAACCCCGGCACAGUUACGGCGCUGAGCAAAGAACGCGGGAAAUAGAAAAAAAUAGGACAAUCCGGAAACUCCUGGCUCAGACGUCCGUGGAUCCUAGCUUUAAAAUAGAUUAUAGUAAACUUAAGUUAGAUAAGGAUUCAUUCGACUUAAAAGCACGACAACUAAUAAUUAAUCCACCGACAAACACAACAGACAAUCUUCUUCUCUCAUAUUAAUCCAUCUCUUCCCCCAUCAGAAUUCAUACCUGCUCCCUUCCCCGAAUUUUCACAAUCUUGUACUCCCCCGCCCCCUCUAAUUAUUCUCCUGUAACGUUUGAGGAACCUCAGUGUUCGAGGAUUUCCCCUCCCUCGUUUGAAUAUUUACCUCCCCUCAAUUAUCAACCGUCGACCACCGUAACUCUCCCUCCUUCCUUCGAAAAUCCUUCUUCUUGUCAACCUUCACAACCAUCAACUCCCCCUGCCUUUUUCGAAAAUCCUCCUCCUUAUCUUCCGCAAUCUUCAACUCUUCCGCGCUCCUCGCCUCUCGAAUCGUCAAACCUCCCAGAGGAGUCAAACGUUUUCGGGAAAUUCCUGGAAUUCUUGGAAGGGCUACCUGACUUUAAGGAGGAACCGCGGGAUUUCAGGUCGGAAUCCUGUGACCCCGAAGAGAUGUUGGAGUCCCUCUUUGAAGAUCUGGAUCGCGAAAGCUGGUACCGCUACAUAAUAAACUAUUUUCUCCCUUUCCCUGUCCCUCUCAAAGACAACGACUCGUGUCGGUCCCGACAUAGUCGACCUCCAUCAGUUUUAUGAAAUCCUCGAUACUGUCCCACCUGGUUCUAUUAUCCCUUUCAUUAUCCCAGGUGCCCCGUUCCCUCUUGUCGUCCCAGUCGAGGUUUUCUGAAUAAGAUUUCCUCCCUCUCCUACAAUCGAAUUUGAAAACCUUUCAUAAUCUUUCUCCUUAUUUUUUCAUUUUAUACUUUUUAUUUAUUUAAUUACAAUUCUACAUUGUAAAAUCCAACACAGGAAUGUAAAUUUUAAUUUGUCCUUUUCGAUUCCGGUUGAUGAUCUCCGCACUCAUGUAACACCCGAAAACAAACAAUUCCCUACACCAUACACACACACUCACACAUAUAAAUGUAACUCUUUAUAAUUUAUAAUAUGAUUACCAUUGUAAUUGAAUAUAUACAUAAAUAUUUAAAUGUAUCUGAAAUCAUAUUUAAAGGUUCUUUUCCUUUCUCUUUUUGAAUAAAUACAAAAUUUUAACUUUAAAAUUCGCGUAGUUUAUUAACCCGUACCCUGAUAUCGCACAAGAUCCCGUCCUGGGUAAUAGAGAUUCAGUUCCUUUAUCAAAAAGGGGACCCCCGAACGAACGGCCUACUAUAAAGCGACCCUUCCGGUCGUUGACCUGUCUUAGGCCCUGGUCAAUUCGUUCGUCUCCAAGACACACGUUGUCUAGCGUUUGUUUGGCGUUAGAUAGGUUACGCCCUCCCACGGUCGGGAGCGGCGCACUUGAAUACAGUAUAAUCGAGCACGGUGCAAAUGGACACGUUACAAAUGGAUACGAGAUUUUGCACACGGUUCUAUUAGACACAGUGCAUUUAGACACAGCAAUUUUGGACACAGUAGCUUUUGGACAAGUAGGAAAAUACUCAUUGUUUACUUGGACACCGCUCACUUGGACACUGUUCAUUUGGACACCGUUUAUUUGGAUACCGUUUGUUCGGACACAGAAAAACGAGCACCGUUCAUUUAGACACCGUUCAUUUGCCCACUGUUUGUUUGCCCACGGUUCGUUUGGACACCGUUCAUUUGCCCACCGUUCGUUUGGACACCGUUUAUUUGACACAGACAAUCAUUAGCAAGUGGCUGACAGUUUCCAGUCAGUCAACUUUAAUCUAUUAUCCUACUAUUAUUUAAAACACCCCCAUAAUAUCAAUACUAAGUAAGAUUUAUAAAUUCCAUGCAAAAUAUACACUACUGUUGUCAUUUAAACCUGACUUAAUCUUGCAACAUUUUGCUCUUUUU
This is a long non-coding RNA of Cataglyphis hispanica, 2625 nucleotides long. RefSeq lists it as uncharacterized. Lineage: Eukaryota; Metazoa; Arthropoda; Insecta; Hymenoptera; Formicidae. The transcript is spliced from 2 exons. The record is from RefSeq and is a predicted model, not a curated record.